RNAcentral lists this long non-coding RNA (6092 nucleotides) under Oncorhynchus mykiss (rainbow trout). RNAcentral's name for it is "lncRNA (ENSOMYG00000020559.2)". The record is from RNAcentral. Lineage: Eukaryota; Metazoa; Chordata; Actinopteri; Salmoniformes; Salmonidae.
AUGGAGGCGCCUCUGAAGGCUCUUUUUGGGGUAACGGAAGAGAGCCUUCUGAUAUCCCUGGUUGAGGGUCACUCCAACCACACCUCCUCCUCCAGCUCCUCCGAGUUGAGCUGUGCUAUCGUGGGGGAGGUGGUACACCAGCUUAACUCUGGCCUCUCAGUGGCCAUUCAGGCCAGCCCGGGGAGUUGCCCCCCUAUGGACAGUCAGGACAUAGCAGCAGGCAAGGAGGUCAUUCGGGUAGCCUCGGUUCAGAUCCUGGCCGAGCUACAGAGCCAAACAUCUGAGCCAGAGUGGGUAGGGUUUAUCGAGCCCCUCAUGGACCCUGUGACCGAUGAUGUGCUGGAGGCCAUUGUCGGCACAAUGGACAAAAUGGCACAGGACUUCAACAUCCUAUUGGAUCUGGCCAAGAAGAUGACAAUCUUGGGGUCUAAAUUUCUGACCAAUCUUCAAUGUGACCUAGAUGUUGAGUGUCCAUCUGGGAAGGAAGGGACCACUCACUUUCUCAAAGAGACUGGAUCCUCUACCAGUGUGGCGUCCAGAAAGAUUCAGACCCUCUCUAGCCCCGACUUUCAGUCUAAAGCCCUGAAGGCGGUGAGCACCAUCCUUACAAGGAAAGUCAGCAGCUCUUCUGGCAUGGCUCCUUCCUCUAGGCCUUCUAGUGCUGCUCCUAGCCUUACUGAAGCCCCGCUGAAUACCAGCUGCACAGCCCUGACAUCUGUAACCUCCACUGCCACAGUGAUUGUUAAGGCAUUUGUGGGAGGCAUGGAGACGAUAGCAUCAUUUGAAGACACAUGUGAAGCAGUUGAUUGGCCAGUUCCUGUAAAUGACCACAAAACAGGGUCUUCACAGAAGAUAACCUUCUCUCUAGCCGGCACACUCUAUGGCCGUAUACGAGCAAAGCUGAGGGACCUUUUAACUCUAGCCGCUCGAGAAGAAGGUGUGGCAAAGGAUGCUUCUCUUCGGGAGUCUUCAGACACCCUGGAAAAGGCAACUGUUUCAACUGUUGAGGUCCAGUUACCCAGCACCGAACACAGUAGAGUUCCCAGAGAGAGCCAACCAAUACCAGCUCUCUGUCUCUCCAAUCUGGAUACCAGUACUCAAGAAGUUCUUAGCAGUGUUUUUUCCAUCUACAAGUCAGAGUUAUCAAAAGUGGAGAGUAAAUCCUUAGCCGUUGUCAGUUCAUCUGAUGAGUCCCUAGAGGCUUGUUGGUUUGUUGAUGGUGUCCUAUCAAAGCUUGAUGACUAUACUAUUUCCCAGUCACCCUCACCCAAUGAAGACUUGAGCGUGAGUACUCAAUAUUCUCAACUGAGCUCAGAAGAGAGUGUCAGAAUCACAGAGUCCUCAACUAGUCUGAUUCAGAGCAUUAAGAAGCUCUCUAGCAAUGACUUUCAGACUCAGGCAGAAGAGGCAGUGAGUAAAGUGCUGAUGAGAUCCAGUCAUUCCUUUAUCACAGAAAUCAGCCAUACUGGUCUUCAGAAAAGUCUGCAGAAUGGCUUAUCAUCUAGCUCACCAUCAGAGAUCCAUGUCCUUUCAGAAUCCAUGUCCUCCAUGUCCUCUGAGAAUACAGCCUCUGGAUUAGUGGAAACCUUUGUCAAAGGAAUGGCGACUAUUUUCCAGAAAAAUGAGUCCACUGACACUGUGCUACUGGAAAGAAGUGGGAGAGUUUCACAGUGCUUCCACGGGGGCUCCCAACUGGAUUAUACUGAAUUGAGUGUUAAAAUAUCAGAGGAGAAGCUUUGGUCAACAGCUAAGAACAUCUGCGUCAGUAUGAAGAACACACUUAAGGAUUUCUUCACAGGGCUGAAGCCAUCCGGAUCCGAAAGGACAGAAAUGGCUCCUUCCAAAGAGACCCUUGGGGAAAUCCUGGUUGCUAUCCAGAGUGAAAUCUCAAACUUCGGGCGAAUGAAGGAUUCCAGGGAGCUCCUUCAGAUCAAUGAUAUGGUAGGAACUAUGCUGAAGGAGAUUGAGAAAAGUGAGGAUGACAGUGAACAAGUCUGCCAAGACAUCCCUCGAACCUGUUCAUCUUUAUCCACUUCUUUAAAUGGUCGUAGUUCCUUGUCCAGCUCUUCAAAGGGUCCUAGGUCAGAGUGUGAGUUAGAGAUCAACCUCCCUGGCACUCCCAUCCCUGACGAAGUGCCUUUUGAUCUGACCUGCCCCAUCGUCAGGAGCUCCUGCAUCGACACCAGGGACUCUAAAAUGCCAGAGAUUUCUACAAGUGACCUAAAGACAAAGAUGAUGGCACACACAGAUGAACCCCUGCAUCGUAACAGUCCAAUGACUGACAGCAGCCGACCACCGAGUGCUAAAGUCUCUUUUCGAUCCUGCACUCCGUCUUUCACCAGCAAGGGAACCUCUUUGGUACCAAAGGGAGAGGGGAUUGACAUUGAAGAGAAGGAGGUGUGUAUCCCCAGCAGCUCUGGCCAUCUGAGGGAGCUCUUAAUCAUCCCGGACAUCAGCAGUGCCACUGCAUUCCCACUGCAGUACUUGAUGGACUCCAGCAAAGAUGAUGGCAUCUGUUUUGUCACCAUACUGGUGAUAAGGUUGCUAUCGGAGAUCAGACCCACAGCCCUAGAUGGACCCUCCCAACAGGCAGCAGAUCUGACAGAAACAUCUCAGCAACUCAUCAGACAAGUCCUGUCUGAGUUCUGUGCUCCAUCUAGAUUAUCCAGGACACAGGCAUAUUCCCAGAACCUGAACAUCCAAAGGGUGUUCAGAGGUGUACAUAAAAACCUCAUGGAGGAGUUUGGCUCUUAUAACACCCUGCAAGCAGCUAUGUCCUCCCAGGACCCUGCAUUUGACAGAGUCCUGGUAAAGUCCUUGACCCAGCAGCUGGUACAGGGAUGCAAGGAGGCGUCAAGACCAGCUUCUGCUGCAACAAACCCAUCAGACCAGGCUGAGAUGGAGAGGGGGGCUGAGCAGAAAGCAAGAAGGAGCUUCCUUUGCUUUUCAAUGACCAAACUCAGGAUCAACUUCAAGCGUUCCAAGAGAGGAAACAAAAAGGACUGCCAUUCAGUCCAAGACCAGACUGAGAUUCCCUCUACUGAUGGACAUUGCAUAGCUCCAGUUGGAGAGGUUUCUCCCUCCAUAUCUCAGCCUGUCAAAAAACGAUCCUUGAUUGUCAGGGUCUUUUCAGCAAUGAUGAAGCCAUUCAGGCGCUUCACCAAGAAGAACCUGUAACCUGUUACGCUGCAUGAAGAACUACUUUUGUAACAGCAAGACUUUUGACAAGAGGAAUUUCUGCAUGUCUAACCUUUCAAAGUCUAUUUGAUCAAAUAAAUGCCAAUGAUUUUACAAGAAUUUCAAGUGUUUUGGAAGAUUGAUAAUACUGAAGCAGAUUUUCUCAGAGAAAUGCACUAGUUCCCCCUUGGUUACACAUUUAUUGUUCAGCUUUUGAGUUGGCAGGACAUAGGGCGUCAGGUAGCCUUGUGGUUAGAGCAUUGGGCCAGUAACCGAAAGAUUGCUAGCGUCAGAUCCCUGAGCUGGCCAUGUAAAAAUAUGUCAUUCUGCUCCUGAACAAGGUAGUUAACCCACUGUUCCUAAGCUGUCAUUGUAAAUAAGAAUUUGUUCUAAACUGACUUGUCUAGUAAAAUAAGGAAAAUAACCACAGCUUGACUCUAAUACAAUAGUUGCUGCAUAGACUGUCAGAUAACCAGAUGUUCUCUAUUAAUUUAGUUAGAUUGGUAAGAGCUUAUUAGCAGCAAGGGAAAACACAUAGAGGAGAAUUAGCUAUCUGCAGCUAGAUCAACCCUCUGAGAUCCUUUCUAUAUUUUUUGAAUAUUUUUUUUUAUUUCACCUUUAUUUAACCAGGUAGGCAAGUUGAGAACAAGUUCUCAUUUACAAUUGCGACCUGGCCAAGAUAAAGCAAAGCAGUUCGACACACAACGACACAGAGUUACACAUGGAGUAAAACAAACAUACAGUCAAUAAUACAGUAUAAACAAGUCUAUAUACGAUGUGAGCAAAUGAGGUGAGAGAAGGGAUGUAAAGGCAAAAAAAGGCCAUGGUGGCAAAGUAAAUACAAUAUAGCAAGUAAAAUACUGGAAUGGUAGAUUUGCAGUGGAAGAAUGUGCAAAGUAGAAGUAAAAAAUAAUGGGGUGCAAAGGAGCUAAAUAAAUAAAUAAAAUAAAUACAGUAGGGAAAGAGGUAGUUGAUUGGGCUAAAUUAUAGGUGGGCUAUGUACAGGUGCAGUAAUCUGUGAGCUGCUCUGACAGUUGGUGCUUAAAGCUAGUGAGGGAGAUAAGUGUUUCCAGUUUCAGAGAUUUUUGUAGUUCGUCCCAGUCAUUGGCAGCAGAGAACUGGAAGGAGAGGCGGCCAAAGAAAGAAUUGGUUUUGGGAGUGACCAGAGAGAUAUACCUGCUGGAGCGCGUGCUACAGGUGGGUGAUGCUAUGGUGACCAGCGAGCUGAGAUAAGGGGGGACUUUACCUAGCAGGGUCUUGUAGAUGACAUGGAGCCAGUGGGUUUGGCGACGAGUAUGAAGCGAGGGCCAGCCAAUGAGAGCGUACAGGUCGCAAUGGUGGGUAGUAUAUGGGGCUUUGGUGACAAAACGGAUUGCACUGUGAUAGACUGCAUCCAAUUUGUUGAGUAGGGUAUUGGAGGCUAUUUUGUAAAUGACAUUGCCGAAGUCGAGGAUUGGUAGGAUGGUCAGUUUUACAAGGGUAUGUUUGGCAGCAUGAGUGAAGGAUGCUUUGUUGCGAAAUAGGAAGCCAAUUCUAUAUUUAACUUUGUAUUGGAGAUGUUUUAUGUAGGUCUGGAAGGAGAGUUUACAGUCUAACCAGACACCUAGGUAUUUGUAGUUGUCCACGUAUUCUAAGUCAGAGCCGUCCAGAGUAGUGAUGUUGGACAGGCGGGCAGGUGCAGGCAGCGAUCGGUUAAAGAGCAUGCAUUUAGUUGUACUUGUAUUUAAGAGCAAUUGGAGGCCACGGAAGGAGAGUUGUAUGGCAUUGAAGCUUGCCUGGAGGGUUGUUAACACAGUGUCCAAAGAAGGGCCAGAAGUAUACAGAAUGGUGUCGUCUGCGUAGAGGUCAGGAUCAGAGACUCACCAGCAGCAAGAGCGACAUCAUUGAUGUAUACAGAGAAGAGAGUCGGUCCAAGAAUUGAACCCUGUGGCACCCCCAUAGAGACUGCCAGAGGUCCGGACAGCAGACCCUCCGAUUUGACACACUGAACUCUAUCAGAGAAGUAGUUGGUGAACCAGGCAAGGCAAUCAUUUGAGAAACCAAGGCUGUCGAGUCUGCCGAUAAGGAUGUGGUGAUUGACAAAGUCGAAAGCCUUGGCCAGAUCAAUGAAUACGGCUGCACAGUAAUGUUUCUUAUCGAUGGCAGUUAAGAUAUCGUUUAGGACCUUGAGCGUGGCUGAGGUGCACCCAUGACCAGCUCUGAAACCAGAUUGCAUAGCAGAGAAGGUAUGGUGAGAUUCGAAAUGGUCGGUAAUCUGUUUGUUGACUUGGCUUUCGAAGACCUUAGAAAGGCAGGGUAGGAUAGAUAUAGGUCUGUAGUAGUAUGGGUCAAGAUUGUCCCCCUCUUUGAAGCUGCUUUCCAAUCUUUGGGAAUCUCAGACGACACGAAAGAAAGGCUAGUAAUAGGGGUGGCAACAAUUUCGGCAGAUAAUUUUAGAAAGAAAGGGUCCAGAUUGUCUAGCCCGGCUGAUUUGUACGGGUCCAGAUUUUGCAGCUCUUUCAGAACAUCAGCUGACUGGCUGACUGGAUUUGGGAGAAGGAGAAAUGGGGAAGGCUUGGGCGAGUUGCUGUGGGGGGUGCAGUGCUGUUGACCGGGGUAGGAGUAGCCAGGUGGAAAGCAUGGCCAGCCGUAGAAAAAUACUUAUUGAAAUUCUCAAUUAUAGUGGAUUUAUCAGUGGUGACAGUGUUUCCUAUCUUCAGUGUAGUGGGCAGCUGGGAUGAGGUGUUCUUAUUCUCCAUGGACUUUACAUUGUCCCAGAACUUUUUUGAGUUGGUGUUGCAGGAAGCAAAUUUCUGCUUGAAAAAGCUAGCCUUGGCCUCCCGGGUGGCGCAGUGGUUAAGGGCGCUGUACUGCAGCGCCAUCAGAGUCCCUGGGUUCGCGCCCAGGCUCUGUCGUAACCGGCUGCGACCGGGAGG